RNAcentral lists this ribosomal RNA (236 nucleotides) under uncultured fungus. RNAcentral describes it as "partial small subunit ribosomal RNA". Lineage: Eukaryota; Fungi. The record is from RNAcentral.
GAUAAUGUCAUUAAAUUUUAUAUGAAUAGUUCUUAAUUGAAUUAUUUUCAUAUAAAACAUUAUCAUCAUCGAAAAUAUUAUAUUGGUCAUUAAAUUGUCUAGUAUAAGAUUUUUGUCAUUUACUGUGAGCAAAAUAGAGUGUUCAAAGCAGGCUUAGGCCGUUGAAUACAUUAGCAUGGAAUAAUAAUAUAAGAUUUUGAUAUAAAUUUUAUUUUGUUGGUUUAUAUAUCAAAAUA